Molecule: ribosomal RNA, 253 nt
Filed under: uncultured bacterium
Lineage: Bacteria
Description: partial 16S ribosomal RNA
Rfam family: Bacterial small subunit ribosomal RNA
Source: RNAcentral
UACGUAGGGUGCGAGCGUUGUCCGGAAUUAUUGGGCGUAAAGGGCUCGUAGGCGGUCUGUUGCGUCAGGAGUGAAAACUCGGGGCUUAACCCCGAGCCUGCUUCUGAUACGGGCAGACUAGAGGUAUGCAGGGGAGAACGGAAUUCCUGGUGUAGCGGUGAAAUGCGCAGAUAUCAGGAGGAACACCGGUGGCGAAGGCGGUUCUCUGGGCAUUACCUGACACUGAGGAACGAAAGCCAGGGGAGCAAACGGG